AAUAGAUACCCUGGUAGUCCACGCCGUAAACGACUGUCGACUUGGAGGUUGUUCCCUUGAGGAGUGGCUUCCGGAGCUAACGCGUUAAGUCGACCGCCUGGGGAGUACGGCCGCAAGGUUAAAACUCAAAUGAAUUGACGGGGGCCCGCACAAGCGGUGGAGCAUGUGGUUUAAUUCGAUGCAACGCGAAGAACCUUACCUACUCUUGACAUCCAGAGAACUUUCCAGAGAUGGAUUGGUGCCUUCGGGAACUCUGAGACAGGUGCUGCAUGGCUGUCGUCAGCUCGUGUUGUGAAAUGUUGGGUUAAGUCCCGCAACGAGCGCAACCCUUAUCCUUCGUUGCCAGCGGUUCGGCCGGGAACUCAAAGGAGACUGCCAGUGAUAAACUGGAGGAAGGUGGGGAUGACGUCAAGUCAUCAUGGCCCUUACGAGUAGGGCUACACACGUGCUACAAUGGCGUAUACAAAGAGAAGCGACCUCGCGAGAGCAAGCGGACUUCAUAAAGUACGUCGUAGUCCGGAUUGGAGU
RNAcentral lists this ribosomal RNA (528 nucleotides) under uncultured bacterium. RNAcentral describes it as "bacterial SSU rRNA". It matches the Rfam family "Bacterial small subunit ribosomal RNA", at positions 777 to 1304 of the family's 1533-position model. The record is from RNAcentral.